CCUACGGGUGGCAGCAGUGAGGAAUAUUGGUCAAUGGACGAGAGUCUGAACCAGCCAAGUAGCGUGAAGGAUGACUGCCCUAUGGGUUGUAAACUUCUUUUAUAUGGGAAUAAAAUGUUCCACGUGUGGGAUUUUGUAGGUACCAUAUGAAUAAGGAUCGGCUAACUCCGUGCCAGCAGCCGCGGUAAUACGGAGGAUCCGAGCGUUAUCCGGAUUUAUUGGGGUUAAAGGGAGCGUAGGUGGAUUGUUAAGUCAGUUGUGAAAGUUUGCGGCUCAACCGUAAAAUUGCAGUUGAAACUAGCAGUCUUGAGUACAGUAGAGGUGGGCGGAAUUCGUGGUGUAGCGGUGAAAUGCUUAGAUAUCACGAAGAACUCCGAUUGCGAAGGCAGUUCACUGGACUGCAACUGACACUGAGGCUCGAAAGUGUGGGUAUCAAACAGGAUUAGAUACCCGUGUAGUC
This 460-nucleotide ribosomal RNA is filed under the name uncultured bacterium. RNAcentral's name for it is "partial 16S ribosomal RNA". It matches the Rfam family "Bacterial small subunit ribosomal RNA", at positions 338 to 795 of the family's 1533-position model. The record is from RNAcentral.